CAGGAAAUAAAGACAUAAAUGUAGCAGAAAUAGCUUCUGUAUAAGGAGUGUGGAUGGGAAAGGACUGAGGACAUACUGUACAAGGUCCAGCAGAAUGUCCAUAAAUGGCACCAGUGGAGGGAAAUGAGUUCCACGUGUGGGAAAGAGCUGGAGCUGAAAAUUGGAUCAUCCUGUAGAAGAUUUCAGGAAGAGGUGGAAGAUUUGAAGUUGGGUGAGAAGACAUAGUUCAUAAUUCUUGCAGCACAAAUGCUCAUCUCAAUCAGCGAUGACCUGCUCUCCAUAAAUCAAAAGGUAAUGUAAAACAAGGUGGAGGAGAAAAACGGAAAUGUGCUUUCCUUUCCCAUCUCACCCUCCCGUUGUCUCAGAAGAGAAAAACGGAAGUCGACAGAUCAUUCACAACAUCAGAGGCAAAGAUUAAUGGUUUAUCCUUGAGAGCAG
Molecule: long non-coding RNA, 438 nt
Organism: Cyprinus carpio carpio
Lineage: Eukaryota; Metazoa; Chordata; Actinopteri; Cypriniformes; Cyprinidae
Source: Ensembl